GAUGAACGCUGGCGGCGUGCCUAAUACAUGCAAGUCGAGCGAACAGACGAGGAGCUUGCUCCUCUGACGUUAGCGGCGGACGGGUGAGUAACACGUGGAUAACCUACCUAUAAGACUGGGAUAACUUCGGGAAACCGGAGCUAAUACCGGAUAAUAUAUUGAACCGCAUGGUUCAAUAGUGAAAGACGGUUUUGCUGUCACUUAUAGAUGGAUCCGCGCCGCAUUAGCGAGUUGGUAAGGUAACGGCUUACCAAGGCAACGAUGCGUAGCCGACCUGAGAGGGUGAUCGGCCACACUGGAACUGAGCCACGGUCCAGACUCCUACGGGAGGCAGCAGUAGGGAAUCUUCCGCAAUGGGCGAAAGCCUGACGGAGCAACGCCGCGUGAGUGAUGAAGGUCUUCGGAUCGUAAAACUCUGUUAUUAGGGAAGAACAAAUGUGUAAGUAACUAUGCACGUCUUGACGGUACCUAAUCAGAAAGCCACGGCUAACUACGUG
This 497-nucleotide ribosomal RNA is filed under the name uncultured bacterium. RNAcentral's name for it is "partial 16S ribosomal RNA". It matches the Rfam family "Bacterial small subunit ribosomal RNA", at positions 28 to 507 of the family's 1533-position model. The record is from RNAcentral.